RNAcentral lists this ribosomal RNA (497 nucleotides) under uncultured bacterium. RNAcentral's name for it is "partial 16S ribosomal RNA". It matches the Rfam family "Bacterial small subunit ribosomal RNA", at positions 28 to 507 of the family's 1533-position model. The record is from RNAcentral.
GACGAACGCUGGCGGCGUGCCUAAUACAUGCAAGUAGAACGCUGAAGCUUGGUGCUUGCACCGAGCGGAUGAGUUGCGAACGGGUGAGUAACGCGUAGGUAACCUGCCUGGUAGCGGGGGAUAACUAUUGGACACGAUAGCUAAUACCGCAUAAGAGUAGAUGUUGCAUGACAUUUGCUUAAAAGGUGCAAUUGCAUCACUACCAGAUGGACCUGCGUUGUAUUAGCUAGUUGGUGAGGUAACGGCUCACCAAGGCAACGAUACAUAGCCGACCGGAGAGGGUGAGCGGCCACACUGGGACUGAGACACGGCCCAGACGCCUACGGGAGGCAGCAGGAGGGAUACGUCGGCAAGGGACGGAAGUCUGACCGAGCAACGCCGCGGGAGUGAAGAAGGUUGUCGGAUCGUAAAGCUCGGUUGUAAGAGAAGAACGAGUGUGAGAGUGGAAAGUUCACACUGUGACGGUAUCUUACCAGAAAGGGACGGCUAACUACGUG